UCCUACGGGUGGCUGCAGUCGAGAAUCUUCGGCAAUGGGCGCAAGCCUGACCGAGCGACGCCGCGUGUGGGAUGAAGGCCUUCGGGUUGUAAACCACUGUCGGAGGGGAGGAAAUUCUAUGGGGUCCACUCCAUAGAUUGACCUAUCCUCAAAGGAAGGACGGGCUAAGUUCGUGCCAGCAGCCGCGGUAAGACGAACCGUCCGAACGUUAUUCGGAAUUACUGGGCUUAAAGGGUGCGUAGGCGGCCCUGAAAGUUGGGUGUGAAAUCCCUCGGCUCAACCGAGGAAUUGCGCCCAAAACUACAGGGCUUGAGGGAGACAGAGGUGAGCGGAACUUGCGGUGGAGCGGUGAAAUGCGUUGAUAUCGCAAGGAACACCAGGGGCGAAAGCGGCUCACUGGGUCUCUUCUGACGCUGAGGCACGAAAGCUAGGGGAGCGAACGGGAUUAGAUACCCUUGUAGUC
Molecule: ribosomal RNA, 463 nt
Filed under: uncultured Planctomycetaceae bacterium
Lineage: Bacteria; Pseudomonadati; Planctomycetota; Planctomycetia; Planctomycetales; Planctomycetaceae
Description: bacterial SSU rRNA
Rfam family: Bacterial small subunit ribosomal RNA
Source: RNAcentral